UUCGGUUUAAUAUUUAGAUUUGAUCUAAGUAUUACUUGAACCAAGUCUAGUAGGAUCAUGCCAAAUCCCACGAUAGAUAACAUGCUAUAUUAUCCCUUGUAUUUGAUCAAUUCCCAAUUGCACGCCAUCCACCGUGCAUAUGCUCUGAGAUUUGCCUUAGAUCCUGGUUUACUUAGAUCUGAUGUAGUGGUCUCAUAGAUUUGAUAAUCCCCCC
This 214-nucleotide long non-coding RNA is filed under the name Elaeis guineensis (African oil palm). Its description in RNAcentral is "long non-coding RNA (EGUI_LNC029669)". Lineage: Eukaryota; Viridiplantae; Streptophyta; Magnoliopsida; Arecales; Arecaceae. The record is from RNAcentral.